CUAACACAUGCAAGUCGAACGAACCCUUCGGGGUUAGUGGCGCACGGGUGCGUAACGCGUGGGGAUCUGCCCUUUGCUUCGGAAUAACAGUUAGAAAUGACUGCUAAUACCGGAUGAUGUCUUCGGACCAAAGAUUUAUCGGCAAAGGAUGAGCCCGCGUAGGAUUAGGUAGUUGGUGGGGUAAAGGCCUACCAAGCCGACGAUCCUUAGCUGGUCUGAGAGGAUGAUCAGCCACACUGGGACUGAGACACGGCCCAGACUCCUACGGGAGGCAGCAGUGGGGAAUAUUGGACAAUGGGCGAAAGCCUGAUCCAGCAAUGCCGCGUGAGUGAUGAAGGCCUUAGGGUCGUAAAGCUCUUUUACCCGGGAUGAUAAUGACAGUACCGGGAGAAUAAGCCCCGGCUAACUCCGUGCCAGCAGCCGCGGUAAUACGGAGGGGGCUAGCGUUGUUCGGAAUUACUGGGCGUAAAGCGUACGUAGGCGGUUAUUCAAGUCAGAGGUGAAAGCCCGGGGCUCAACCCCGGAACGGCCUUUGAAACUAGGUAGCUAGAGUCUUGGAGAGGUCAGUGGAAUUCCGAGUGUAGAGGUGAAAUUCGUAGAUAUUCGGAAGAACACCAGUGGCGAAGGCGACUGACUGGACCAAGUACUGACGCUGAGG
Molecule: ribosomal RNA, 658 nt
Filed under: uncultured Alphaproteobacteria bacterium
Lineage: Bacteria; Pseudomonadati; Pseudomonadota; Alphaproteobacteria
Description: bacterial SSU rRNA
Rfam family: Bacterial small subunit ribosomal RNA
Source: RNAcentral